Non-coding RNA from Nicotiana tabacum (common tobacco), 600 nucleotides. The record is from RefSeq and is a predicted model, not a curated record. Lineage: Eukaryota; Viridiplantae; Streptophyta; Magnoliopsida; Solanales; Solanaceae.
AACUUGGAUCUCAUGCUGUUUAGGAAGUUGGAAUUGUGACUCUGCUCAGAGAAUCCAGCGUCCUCGUAACUGUGUAGGUCAUCUUAUAAGAAUAAUUCGCUUCUCUGAUCAAAGGUCUUUUGGAAUUAUAAAACAGUUUGACAGCAUCACCAAAAAACAUUUGAUCAUGUUUGAAGAUGGUAGUGUUGAGUACGUUGACAUGUCAACGGAAGAUUGGGAAUUUUGUAACUUUCUUGUGUAAUCAGGUCUUAGAUGUCAGGAUUAAGAUAGACAUGAUUCAACGUCUGCAGCAGAGAUGCGAUAUGUUGUUCAACAUCCAAAUUGCAAUGGUUCGCUAGCUUUGUUUAUGUUGUAACAAAUGUAGCAUGUUUCUUCUCCCAAUUUCAUUUGUUGGUACAAGUCUGCUGAUGUUAGUACUCUCCUUUGGAGAUGGAAGUUCUGAUGAUUCUUUCCCAUGUAUAAACAUAACAAAUGUAACAAUAGCUCACCCCGUUCCCAAUUGUAUCGGAUGUCCCUGAUAAACAAGUUGACUAUAUGGUUCAUAAUUCAUUAACUAGAGAGAAAAGAGAAAUUCCUUAGCUCUCUAUUUUUGUACCUUGA